AUUGAACGCUGGCGGCAGGCCUAACACAUCCAAGUCGAGCGGAUGAAGGGAGCUUGCUCCUGGAUUCAGCGGCGGACGGGUGAGUAAUGCCUAGGAAUCUGCCUGGUAGUGGGGGAUAACGUCCGGAAACGGGCGCUAAUACCGCAUACGUCCUGAGGGAGAAAGUGGGGGAUCUUCGGACCUCACGCUAUCAGAUGAGCCUAGGUCGGAUUAGCUAGUUGGUGGGGUAAAGGCCUACCAAGGCGACGAUCCGUAACUGGUCUGAGAGGAUGAUCAGUCACACUGGAACUGAGACACGGUCCAGACUCCUACGGGAGGCAGCAGUGGGGAAUAUUGGACAAUGGGCGAAAGCCUGAUCCAGCCAUGCCGCGUGUGUGAAGAAUGUCUUCGGAUUGUAAAGCACUUUAAGUUGGGAGGAAGGGCAGUAAGUUAAUACCUUGCUGUUUUGACGUUACCAACAGAAUAAGCACCGGCUAACUUCGUG
RNAcentral lists this ribosomal RNA (484 nucleotides) under uncultured bacterium. RNAcentral describes it as "partial 16S ribosomal RNA". It matches the Rfam family "Bacterial small subunit ribosomal RNA", at positions 30 to 507 of the family's 1533-position model. The record is from RNAcentral.